GGGCCUAUGGCUCAGUGGCAGGGCAUCUUCUUGGCAUACAGAAGGGCCUCGGUUCAGUCCCCAGCAUCUCCA
This 72-nucleotide transfer RNA is filed under the name Sphaerodactylus townsendi. Its description in RNAcentral is "tRNA-Ala". Lineage: Eukaryota; Metazoa; Chordata; Lepidosauria; Squamata; Sphaerodactylidae. The record is from RNAcentral.